CUACUCGUCGGGGUCGGAUGUCCCUGGUGAGGCCAGCCAGGACAUCAAUGAUCCCAUUCCCCGCCGUCCGAGGAAGGAUCCCACUCGACCGUCCAACCCAGAGGGAGCUGGGGCGGCCAAGUGCCAGCAGCAAGCUCUGAAGCUACAACUUCACCUGAAAAGAGAAGCCACAAACAAGGCUGAGCUUCUAAGCUCAACAAGACUUAACCGACCGGUGGGAGAAACUAUUCCACCACGUCUAGACAUGCAAGGCUCUUUGGCUGAGGGGUUUUGUUUGCCAAAAGCGACUAUGUUAGGUCCUUGCUUUCAAAGUUUUAGCUCAGAUUCUAAGUUCAUUUACUAGUCUAUGUUGGCAACUUACA
RNAcentral lists this long non-coding RNA (362 nucleotides) under Setaria italica (foxtail millet). RNAcentral's name for it is "long non-coding RNA (SITA_LNC004499)". Lineage: Eukaryota; Viridiplantae; Streptophyta; Magnoliopsida; Poales; Poaceae. The record is from RNAcentral.